GGGGGCACAGCUCAGUGGUAGAGCACGUGCUUAGCAUGCAUGGGGUCCUGGGUUCAAUCCGCAGUCCCUCCA
Molecule: transfer RNA, 72 nt
Filed under: Camelus bactrianus (Bactrian camel)
Lineage: Eukaryota; Metazoa; Chordata; Mammalia; Artiodactyla; Camelidae
Also listed under: 2 other names
Rfam family: tRNA
About the family: Transfer RNA (tRNA) molecules are approximately 80 nucleotides in length. Their secondary structure includes four short double-helical elements and three loops (D, anti-codon, and T loops). Further hydrogen bonds mediate the characteristic L-shaped molecular structure. tRNAs have two regions of fundamental functional importance: the anti-codon, which is responsible for specific mRNA codon recognition, and the 3' end, to which the tRNAs corresponding amino acid is attached (by aminoacyl-tRNA synthetases). tRNAs cope with the degeneracy of the genetic code in two manners: having more than one tRNA (with a specific anti-codon) for a particular amino acid; and 'wobble' base-pairing, i.e. permitting non-standard base-pairing at the 3rd anti-codon position.
Source: Rfam by way of RNAcentral